Molecule: ribosomal RNA, 387 nt
Filed under: uncultured bacterium
Lineage: Bacteria
Description: bacterial SSU rRNA
Rfam family: Bacterial small subunit ribosomal RNA
Source: RNAcentral
AUUGAACGCUGGCGGCAUGCCUUACACAUGCAAGUCGAACGGCAGCACGGGAGCAAUCCUGGUGGCGAGUGGCGAACGGGUGAGUAAUAUAUCGGAACGUGCCCAGUCGUGGGGGAUAACGUAGCGAAAGCUACGCUAAUACCGCAUACGAUCUAUGGAUGAAAGCGGGGGAUCGCAGGACCUCGCGCGAUUGGAGCGGCCGAUAUCAGAUUAGGUAGUUGGUGGGGUAAAAGCCUACCAAGCCUUCGAUCUGUAGCUGGUCUGAGAGGACGACCAGCCACACUGGAACUGAGACACGGUCCAGACUCCUACGGGAGGCAGCAGUGGGGAAUUUUGGACAAUGGGCGCAAGCCUGAUCCAGCCAUGCCGCGUGAGUGAAGAAGGCCU